Candidatus Yonathbacteria bacterium is the source of this 1496-nucleotide non-coding RNA. Lineage: Bacteria; Candidatus Yonathiibacteriota. The record is from Rfam.
AUACUUAAGAGUUUGAUCCUAGCUCAGGAUGAACGCUGGCGGCGUGGAUAAGGCAUGCAAGUCGAGUGGGUUUAGACCCACGGCGAACGAGGUAGUAACACGUAGGAACGUACCCAAAAGUCGGGCAUAACCAGUCGAAAGAUUGGAUAAUUCCCGAUAUCUCUUCGGAGGAAAGAUUUAUCGCUUUUGGAUCGGCCUGCGGAAUAUCAGCUAGUUGGUAGUGUAAUGGACUACCAAGGCUAUGACGUUUAGGGGAGGUGAGAGCCUGACCCCCACCGAUGGUACUGCGACACGGACCAUACACCUACGGGUGGCUGCAGUCGAGAAUCUUCCACAAUGGACGAAAGUCUGAUGGAGCGACGCCGCGUGAUUGAUGAAGUCCUUCGGGAUGUAAAGAUCUUUUAUGAGGGAGAAAGUUAUUGAUAGUACCUCAUGAAUAAGGGGUUGCUAAACUCGUGCCAGCAGCAGCGGUAAUACGAGUGCCCCGAGCGUUAUCCGGAAUCACUGGGCGUAAAGGGUGCGGAAGGCGGCGAUAUUAGUCUUUUGUUAAAGCUCCCGGCUUAACCGGGAAAUCGCGAAAGAAACGGUAUUGCUUGAGAGUGUGAGAGGUAUGCGGAACUCAUGGUGUAGGGGUGAAAUCCGUUGAUAUCAUGGGGAACACCAAAGGCGAAGGCAGCAUACUGGCACAUUUCUGACGCUCAAGCACGAAAGCGUAGGUAGCGAAUGGGAUUAGAUACCCCAGUAGUCUACGCCCUAAACGAUGUUCUCUAGUCUUUUGGAGUAUCGACCCUCUGAGAGGCGUAGCUAACGCGUUAAGAGAACCGCCUGGGAAGUACGAUCGCAAGAUUAAAACUCAAAGGAAUAGACGGGGACUUGCACAAGCGGUGGAUCAGGUGGCUUAAUUCGACGGUAAACGAAGAACCUCACCAGGGUUUGAAACCUAUACGACGUUCUUUUGAAAGAAAGAAUUUCUCACAAGGACGUAUAGGCAGGUGAUGCAUGGCCGUCGUCAGUUCGUGGUUUGAAUUGUUCCCUUCAGUGGGGUAACGAACGCAACCCUCGUUGCCUGUUAUAUUUGUCAGGCGAGACUGCCCAGCCCAGUGAGCACGAAGCAUAAGCUUCGCGAGCAUUGGGCUGGGAGGAAGGCGAGGAUGACGCCAGGUCAGCAUGUCCCUUUGAUACCCUGGGCUGCACACUUGAUACAAUGGUCACGACAACGGGUCGCGACGGGGUAACCCUGAGCCAAUCCUAAUAAACGUGGCCUCAGUUCGGAUUGAGGGCUGAAACUCGACCUCAUGAAGCUGGAAUCGCUAGUAAUCGCGGGUCAGCUAUACCGCGGUGAAUACGUUCUCAAGUCUUGUACUCACCGCCCGUCAACUCAAGGGAGUCGGGAGUACCCGAAGCCCCUGCUUGCAGGGUCUAAGGUAAGCUCGAUGACAGGGAGUAAGUCGUAACAAGGCACGGCUAGCGGAAGCUGGUCGUGGAUCAAUUCCAUG